Molecule: ribosomal RNA, 836 nt
Filed under: Alcaligenaceae bacterium
Lineage: Bacteria; Pseudomonadati; Pseudomonadota; Betaproteobacteria; Burkholderiales; Alcaligenaceae
Description: bacterial SSU rRNA
Rfam family: Bacterial small subunit ribosomal RNA
Source: RNAcentral
GGCUUGCGGGGUGCCUUACCAUGCAAGUCGACGGUAACGUGAAAGUAUUUUGUUACUUUUGCCGGCGAGUGGCGAACGGGUGACUAAUGUAUCGCAACGCGACCAGAAUGGGAGGAUAACUACGCAAAGGGGUGGAUAAUACCGCAUACGCCCUACGGGGGGAAGGGGGGGAUCUUAAGACCUCUCACUAUUGCAUAGGCCGAUAUCCGAUUAUCUAUAUGUAGGGGUAAAGGCCUACCAAGGCGACGAUCCGUAUAUGGUUUGAGAGGACCCCCACCCACACUGGGACUGAGACACGGCCCAGACUUCUACGGGAGGCAACAGUGGGGAAUUUUGGACAAUGGGGGAAACCCUGAUCCUGCCAUCCCGCGUGUGAGAUGAAGGCCUUCGGCUUGUAAAGCACUUUUGUCAGGAAAGAAAAGGUUUCGGAUAACACCCGGAACUGAUGACGGUACCUGAACAAUAAGCACCGGCUACCUACAACUCCGCAGCCGCGGUAAUACGUAUGGGGCAAGCGAUAAUCUGAAUUACUGUUAUUAAAGCUAGUGCACGCGUAUCGGAAAGAUAAAUGCUAAAGCCCAAGGCUCAACCUUGGAACUGCAUUUUUAACUACCGAACUAGAGUAUGUCGGAGGGGGAGGAAUUCCAAUGCAGGUGAAAAUGAAAGAUAUGGGGAUAACACCGAUGCCAUGGCACCCCCCUGCUAUAGACUUGCACUGACGCGGAUAGCGAGCGGAGGAAGCGGAUUCGAUACCCUGACACUCCACGCCCACACCAUGCCAAUAUUUGUUGGGCGCUAUCGAGGCUUAUAUCCCCACUCCGGCGAGAACUUGCCUU